AACGAACGCUGGCGGCAUGCCUAACACAUGCAAGUCGAACGAGGCCUUCGGGUCUAGUGGCGCACGGGUGCGUAACGCGUGGGAAUCUGCCCUUGGGUUCGGAAUAACAGUUAGAAAUGACUGCUAAUACCGGAUAAUGUCUUCGGACCAAAGAUUUAUCGCCCAGGGAUGAGCCCGCGUAGGAUUAGCUAGUUGGUGAGGUAAAGGCUCACCAAGGCGACGAUCCUUAGCUGGUCUGAGAGGAUGAUCAGCCACACUGGGACUGAGACACGGCCCAGACUCCUACGGGAGGCAGCAGUGGGGAAUAUUGGACAAUGGGCGAAAGCCUGAUCCAGCAAUGCCGCGUGAGUGAUGAAGGCCUUAGGGUUGUAAAGCUCUUUUACCCGGGAUGAUAAUGACAGUACCGGGAGAAUAAGCCCCGGCUAACUCCGUGCCAGCAGCCGCGGUAAU
This 450-nucleotide ribosomal RNA is filed under the name uncultured bacterium. RNAcentral's name for it is "bacterial SSU rRNA". It matches the Rfam family "Bacterial small subunit ribosomal RNA", at positions 29 to 524 of the family's 1533-position model. The record is from RNAcentral.